UGUGUAUACACCUGAUAGGUGCAUGUGUAAAUAUAUAUACACACAUGUAGCAGGUAUAUAUAUGUAUAG
RNAcentral lists this microRNA precursor (69 nucleotides) under Chlorocebus sabaeus (green monkey). Its description in RNAcentral is "miRNA (ENSCSAG00000019900.1)". Lineage: Eukaryota; Metazoa; Chordata; Mammalia; Primates; Cercopithecidae. The record is from RNAcentral.